AACGCACGAGACCUGCGGACCUGCGGAGGGAUCAUUACCGAGUUUACAACUCCCAAACCCAAUGUGAACGUUACCAAACUGUUGCCUCGGCGGGAUCUCUGCCCCGGGUGCGUCGCAGCCCCGGACCAAGGCGCCCGCCGGAGGACCAACCAAAACUCUUUUGUAUACCCCCUCGCGGGUUUUUAUAUCUGAGCCAUCUCGGCGCCUCUCGUAGGCGUUUCGAAAAUGGAUCAAAACUUU
RNAcentral lists this unclassified non-coding RNA (240 nucleotides) under soil metagenome. RNAcentral's name for it is "partial contains 5.8S ribosomal RNA, internal transcribed spacer 2, and large subunit ribosomal RNA". The record is from RNAcentral.